This 565-nucleotide ribosomal RNA is filed under the name uncultured bacterium. RNAcentral's name for it is "bacterial SSU rRNA". It matches the Rfam family "Bacterial small subunit ribosomal RNA", at positions 33 to 643 of the family's 1533-position model. The record is from RNAcentral.
ACGCUGGCGGCAGGCUUACACAUGCAAGUCGAGCGCUCGUAGCAAUACGGGAGCGGCAGACGGGAGAGUAACACGUGGGAACGUACCUUUCGGUUCGGAAUAACCCAGGGAAACUUGGGCUAAUACCGGAUACGUCCGUAAGGAGAAAGAUUUAUCGCCGGAAGAUCGGCCCGCGUCCGAUUAGCUAGUUGGUGUGGUAAUGGCGCACCAAGGCGACGAUCGGUAGCUGGUCUGAGAGGAUGAUCAGCCUCACUGGGACUGAGACACGGCCCAGACUCCUACGGGAGGCAGCAGUGGGGAAUAUUGGACAAUGGGCGCAAGCCUGAUCCAGCCAUGCCGCGUGGGUGAUGAAGGCCUUAGGGUUGUAAAGCCCUUUCGGCGGGGAAGAUAAUGACGGUACCCGCAGAAGAAGCCCCGGCUAACUUCGUGCCAGCAGCCGCGGUAAUACGAAGGGGGCUAGCGUUGCUCGGAAUCACUGGGCGUAAAGCGCACGUAGGCGGGUCUUUAAGUCAGGGGUGAAAUCCUGGAGCUCAACUCCAGAACUGCCUUUGAUACUGGAGAUCUA